AUUGAACGCUGGCGGCAUGCUUUACACAUGCAAGUCGAACGGCAGCGGGUCCUUCGGGAUGCCGGCGAGUGGCGAACGGGUGAGUAAUGCAUCGGAACGUACCCAGUCGUGGGGGAUAACUACUCGAAAGAGUGGCUAAUACCGCAUACGACCUGAGGGUGAAAGCGGGGGACCGCAAGGCCUCGCGCGAUUGGAGCGGCCGAUGUCGGAUUAGCUAGUUGGUGGGGUAAAGGCUUACCAAGGCGACGAUCCGUAGCUGGUCUGAGAGGACGACCAGCCACACUGGGACUGAGACACGGCCCAGACUCCUACGGGAGGCAGCAGUGGGGAAUUUUGGACAAUGGGCGCAAGCCUGAUCCAGCCAUGCCGCGUGCGGGAAGAAGGCCUUCGGGUUGUAAACCGCUUUUGUCAGGGAAGAAAAGCUCUGGGCUAAUACCUCGGGGUGAUGACGGUACCUGAAGAAUAAGCACCGGCUAACUACGUGC
RNAcentral lists this ribosomal RNA (485 nucleotides) under uncultured bacterium. RNAcentral describes it as "bacterial SSU rRNA". It matches the Rfam family "Bacterial small subunit ribosomal RNA", at positions 29 to 508 of the family's 1533-position model. The record is from RNAcentral.